Molecule: unclassified non-coding RNA, 577 nt
Filed under: uncultured bacterium
Lineage: Bacteria
Description: partial contains 16S ribosomal RNA, 16S-23S ribosomal RNA intergenic spacer, and 23S ribosomal RNA
Rfam family: Bacterial large subunit ribosomal RNA (bases 464-577)
Source: RNAcentral
UAUAGAGAAUACCGUUUCCACGAAAACGGUCAAAUCCAAAGCGACUGUCUGAACAUCUCUUUUUGAAAAUGGGUAUAAUUCUGCUGGGUCAGUAGUUCAGUUGGUUAGAAUGCCGCUCUGAUACAGCGGAGGUCGAAGAUUCGAGUUCUUCCUGACCCACCACUUAAAUUGAUGAGGUUGGAAUCAAAAACAAAUACUUGUUUUUGAUUCCAGAUGUUCUGAUGAAUAUCUUCGGAAUCUGCUUUUAUUAGCAAUCAUUGUAAAUCGGUUUUUAAUGUCGUAAAUCAAACUUUAUGGAAACAUGACUCUUGAUUUAUUGAACAUCGUAAUCUCAAAAAUCUUUCUAAAUAGAGUAAUCACGAAAGUGAUAAUUCAAUUAGAGAAGCAAGAAUCAACUUAAAUGCUUAAAAAACUCAUUAAGUUCUCUUGAUUGUGUUUGAAGACUUUCUCUUCAAGCAUAAGAUAAAAAGUAACAAAGGGUGUUUAGUGGAUGCCUUGGCAAUCAGAGGCGAUGAAGGACGUGAAAGACUGCGAUAAGUCCGGGUGAGGCGUCAAUAUCCUUUGACCCCGGAAUUUC